GACCAUAGAAGCAAACUGCUCCCAUUGCUGUUCAGAAUCUUCAACCCAGUGCUGUGCAAUGGCAUUCUCAAAAGCUUUUUCUUCUUCUCUGCUCCACACUACUGAAGAUGAUGAUGAAUCUGAAGGUGACAUUUCUAAAUCUCUUUCUUGUUUCAAUUUUUUAGUUCAAUUUGGGGAAAAUUGCAUCUAAUCUUCAGUUUGAAAGAAAGAAAGCAAGAAAAUAAUAAUAACUCUAGUAGGGAAGAAAAAGAAAGUGGGGAGGGGUAUCAAAUGUAUUAAUGGUGAAGGACCACUUUGAGGUUGAAGUGAUGGGCUGAUUUGUCACCUUCAUACAAAGUCAUGCAAACUAAAUUACAAAAAGUGAAAACCCAAUUCUAUUUCUACAAAUAAUUAUUUUUCACUUACUUAAAAGAGUCCGUAGAGAUUCUAUUAUUAAAAUUAAAAUUCUUAUGAUAAAAUAUUGAUCAAAGUUUACAAAGACUCUAUACGUAUAAAGCUGACAAAAAGGUGGGCAAAAGAACAAACAGAAAAGGGGAAAGAGGAAAAUAUGGGAAGGUAGUGUAGAAAAUUUACCAACUUUUAAUCCAGCGGUAAAAUCUUUACUAGUUAAUAGAAUGGAAACUAUGGAAUAUACAAUGAUUAAAAGGGUGGAAUAAUAAAAAUAAAGAAACAUAAAAGUUUAAAAAAAGGGUAUCUAUUUCAUCAUUAAAAUGAAAAAAAAAAAAAAAAAGUGGCAUCUUAUUAGUAGCAAUGAUUGAAUGGGUGAAUGGCAAUAAGAGGUUCCAUACAAAAUCUUGUAGCAAAUUUGGGCCACGCACUGUUUGCCCUCGUGAUUCUAGGAAUAGUACUAAGGACUUAGAAGGGGCAAAUCGUGAUUAAUUUUAGAAUGAAUUUAUUCAAUAUUUGAUUAAGAUAAAAUUGUAAAAUAAUUUAUUUAAGAAGUAGUUGUUUAAAAGUUUUAGUACAUUGAGAAGAAAAUAAUGAUUCGGAAAUAAUUAAUUAUAAUAGAACUCGUUCUUAAUGAAAUGAGUAUAGGAUUAGGAUAUACUAGAGAUAAUAAUAUUGUUAUUGACUUUAAUAUUAUUUAAUUCUUUAUUUUGUAAUCUUUUGACCUAUUGUUUCAGUAAUAUUAGGUUAAUAAUGGUGGGUGGGAAGAAGCAGGAUUGGAGUCAAAUUAUUUAAAACAUUAAUUGCAACUUUGCAAGUAAUCAAAGAUCUAAUUAUGUACUGAUCAAGAAUGUAUGAUAAAAUGAUAAUCACGUGCCAAUUUGCUUUAACUUUUGGUUAAACAGAUCCAAUUCUUGUGUUCUUUCUCCGAAAUCAACGAUCGUAUAGAAAUUAAUUUUUUAUAUAUAGUCAUUAUUCUAAUAUUAAAUCAUCUUCAAGAGUAGUUGAUCC
Molecule: long non-coding RNA, 1398 nt
Filed under: Solanum lycopersicum (tomato)
Lineage: Eukaryota; Viridiplantae; Streptophyta; Magnoliopsida; Solanales; Solanaceae
Description: long non-coding RNA (SLYC_LNC001400)
Source: RNAcentral